ACCGCUGCACCGAGCCGGCCUGCAAGCCAUACGUGAGCACGCCCCUCCUAUCUGCCGCAUGCGUGCAUUUUAGCUAUCCGGUGCUCAUCCCUGUUAGCCCAUUAAGGUCUAGAUUCCGCCCGUAGACCCUUUUUUCAAAUCUUCGAAUUUCACAUUUAUCGAGAGAAAAACUAUUUUACAGAAAAGACCCUCAUGAUCAUGCAAUUAAUAACUUGAGAAUGGUGCAUUGGAUGAAAAUAAUUCAGAUAUGUAAAAUGUUUAGAAUUUCAUGUAGAUUAAGGAUUUCCAACUUUCAUGCAUGUUAAAAAUAUUUAAACGUGUUGUUUGCAUUGUUUUGUUUGAUGCCAUAUUAAAAAUGAUUUAAUUCAUAGCAAAAUAACCAUGCAUCACAUUUAAAAACUUUGCACAAUAAAAAUACUUAGAAUUUUGUGUAGAUUGACAACAUCCAACUUUCAACCAUGUUUAAUAUGUUUAAUUUGAUGUUUUAGUCAAUUUGCAUUAAUGCCAUGUCGGAAAUGAUUUAUUUCAUAACUAAUUAACAAAGAUCCGAUUAAAACGUUUUAUAUAUGUCACAUCCCUGACACCUUAAGCAAGUUAGUCUUGUGCUCAUGUCUUCUUUGCAUUUGCAUCUAAGAAUUUUCAACAAGAUCAAAGAAAGAGGUGAAGAAAAACUCAAAACCCUAGCCACUACUUUAAAUAAAGGUAAUCUCAAACUUGUUAAAAUCAAUGAAUCCAGAAUGGCCUCAAGAAAAGUUCAAACUUUCUGAUAAAUCAUGAAAGUAAAUGAGCAAUGAAGAAAACAUUUUUCUUGACACUUCAAGAUUUUAAAUUAAUGCAAAAAGCUACUAGUUUCAAAUUUUAAAUUUGAAAUCAGAAACUUUAAACUUUCAAAAAUGUUGAAAACUUUAGGAAUGGUUUGAAAUAUUCCAACAAAUAUUCUAGGGUGCUUCAAAUAAAUUUUACAAAUUAUUUGGGAGCUGAAAUAAAUAGCAAAUUAUUGAAGUAGCUAAAACAGAAANGGCCGCCGCCAAGCUCGUCGCCGGCGUCAUCUCCGGCCAGAUCAGCCCCGGCUAAGUGCAGAAAUGGAGCUGCGGGAGAUGUGUCGUUCCUCUGGUGCUCUCCGCGCAGCGUUUGGCCCCUUGUGCGCCGUUUCCGAGCCCCUCCGUCGUUCUGGUAGUCGUCGGAGGCUCCCCGCCGGCGAGCACGACCUCGCCGCCGGUGGAUCUCGGCCGGCCUGAGCCACUGACUGGUGGGGCCACCCUCUGGCAAGAUUAGAAAUAAUAAAAAUAAAUCAGUAAAAAUAAUAAGACACUGACAUGUGGGUCCAGUGGGUUUAAUUAACUAAAUAAGAUUAAUCCUAAUCUAAAAUUGACCACAGAGACUAACCAGUGGGUCCCACUAGUCAGGUUUGACUUUCAACGGCCAGUUGGACCUGCUGAUGUCAUGCUGAUGCAGUAAAAGUAUUUUCCAGUAUAAAAAUAAUUCCAGAAAUGUUUAAAACUUAAAAAAAUCAAAGAAAUUAAUCUGUAACUCCAAUGAAAAUAAUUUAUAUAUGAAAAAGUGUCAGAAAAAUUCAAGGAAUCUGAAUAUGCUAUUUUCAAUCAUGUUUGAAAAAGUUAUAGAACCCAAACAUGUAGAUUAAUGAAUAAGUCAAUUCUUAUAAUUACUUUAUAAAUGGAAUUUGGAAAAUAUUCAAAUUUCAUUAUGAAUGACAUGAUCACACAUUGUCCUAAUUACAAAUCAGUACCUUAACAUGACAUCUCAUGCAUGUUAACAUCAAGUUGAUCUGAGCAUCAGGUCGAAUCAAUUAAAUCGGUAUCCGAGAAUACCUCAUUUGAAUUGAUAUUUGAAUGUGAUUCAAAUCAAUUACAAACCUAAUACAUGUUGAUUAUAUUAGUUAACACCUUCCAUUCUCAUGCCAUGCCCAUGCAUCAUCUUGUCUGCAUAUGAUUGUUAUUGAUUGUUGCCAUUCAUUUCGGUAGGCUCCGCACCCCCGGAUUCCACCGAAUAUCCGUCUGACGAAUAUUGUCCCUCCUCUAAGCAACAAGGCAAGCAACCAUUUUGAUCAUUCUGAUAAAUCCUAUAUUCCUGCUCCUGCACUUAUUUAUUGCAUUAGGAUCGAAUGCUUCAACUGCUUUUGCCACGUUAGUUGAACCCACUUCCUUUGCAUGACCUAUCCUUGUCACAGUAAAUAGCCGAACCUUGCAACCUAGCAUACCUGGUAGUUGCUUGAGCCAUGAUGUGCCUUAUCCUGCUAUGCAUGCUAUGCUUAGAGUUGUGUAUGGUCUGUCAUCUGGGAGAUGAACAGAAUUGUGAGAAUGCGUUCGGUAAGCAAAGGUUGUGUGUUGAAUCUGAUUUGGUAAAGGUAUCGGUGAAAGGCUGUGUAGGAGUACAUGGCGGGUUGUUUCAUUGGAACCGUCCUUAGGAACUGAGUUCCGUGUAUGUAAUCCAAGACUAGUUACUACCACAUGUUGGGCCCUGAAAUAUGACCCCGCUCGGCCUAUUAAUCGCUUAGUACUCGGUCCAGGAGUUGCAAGUAGUUUCUGGUGUUUAUAGUCAUGCUGGAGGCCGUGCAUGGUGCUGACCUGAGAGGUGGGCCGUGAUGCGGUAGACAGUGGCACGGUGUACCAAGUGGCACCCGGAUGGUGGGCUUGGGAACCCUGCGCACAUCGUUUGAGGCCGUGGCGGAAACCUCGGCCGGACUUCCGUACGGGUUACUCUCAGAUAGGCGAUAAACCUGGACUAGGUACUAGUGUGGUUAACGGUCGUGGCCGACUCCCCCGCUGGGCUUCCGCUUGAAGGUUGCCGAGGUGCAUGACGUGCACAUGGCGAUAAGUGGCGAGAGCGUGUGUGACGAAGUACACCCCUGCAGGGUUAUGAUCUAUUCGAAUAGCCGCGUCCGCGGAUAUGGACUACUUGGAGACAUAUGUUGUUCAUAGAUAACUUCAAUGGCUACUCAUAAAAUUAUCAAGAUAAGCGUGAGUGUCGUGGACGGCAUUUCCGUAUGGAGACGGAAUGAUUCCACGAUAGUGUAUUGUUGUGGUGUUAGUGGACUCGUGUGCGAGAAAUCAAGUUGUCAAAAUUAUUUAAAAAUGCAAGUUGUCUAGCCACGAGUCAAAUGCUGGCUUUCCGCAUGAAACCCCACAAUACCCUUUUGAUACCUUGCAUGUGUAGUUAGUUAUCCUAAAGUCUUGCUGAGUACCUUCGUACUCAUGUUUGCUUAAUAAAUGUUGCAGAGGUUGCUAAUGACCCUAAUGGAGGGUUCUUCGUAGACAUCGACGACGAGAGUAGCUGGUGUCCCAGCUACGAUCUAGCCCUACGUUGGAUCUGUAGUAUAGUCAGGCCAUGUGCCUUCUAGUUGCCCUGUCUGUACUCAGACAGUUUAAACUCUUCCGCUGGCUUGUAACUGAAUGACUGCUAUUAUUGGUCGUGAGACCCUUAAUGUGUAAUAUUAUGUGUGUGGCUCUUCUGAGCCUCCUAAAUAAAGCUUGUAUGUUUAUGGUUAUGUUGUGAUGCCAUCGAUGUAUCUAUACAUAUCGGUAUGCCAUGCGUACGUGUGUCGUACCUGAUAUAUAUGGGGUUCGAUUACCUAGUCGUGAACUUUAGUAGCACUCCUUACAAGGAAAUGCCCCUUUGUGAUCCAACGAGCCUUGGUAGUUCGCUACUGCUCCGGACACAUUGGUUGACCGGCAUGUGUCCUUCUUAGCUGCUGUGUCUGUCCCCUUUGGGGAAAUGUCACGCGAUGUAAUGGAGUCCUUGUAGCUUGCUACGACUCGUCUACAUUCGCUGUUGACCGACACCGGCUUUAUUGGGUCAUGUAUGCCUGUCCUUGUGCGGUACUGCCACUUUGGUUUAUGACUAGACAUGUCGAUCCGGGUUCUUUGACAUUGGAAUGCUAGCGACACUAUUGCAUACGUGAGUCAAAAGACGCAAACGGUCCCGGCUAAGGUAAGGCUGCAGUCGUGGAGUUAACCGUGCGUGAGACCGCAAAGGGAUGCGAUGUGUUACGGGCUGGAUUCCUAUGGCUUAGGAUUGGGGUCCCGACAAUAUAGGGAAAGUUACAUUUGUGCCCCUAGUUGCGUCAUGCCCAUUUGAUUUGAGCCUAAAUUAAAAAACCCUCGUUUCUGCCCAAGCUCAUUUGCUCCUCUUAUGUUUUUGCCCUUUUACUCUUUGACCGUCACUUUGAAAACUUCAUAACAAAUUCAUACUAACUCAGAAAAAUUCAAUUAAGAUAUCAAUAUGCAAGGAAAAAACAUCAGCUAUAUUUGGACGUCAUUUAUAUUCAUGAAACAAGUGCUGGAAAAUCCACAUCUUAAUUUGAGCUCAAAUGAUGUCAGCAUGAAUAGUAAAAUCCAAAAAAAAAAUUGAAAACGGAUUCAAAAAAAUUCUGAAUCUUUAGUACCAAACAUGGACAAAUCUUUUUAGAACUUGCAAAGUUUCAUGAGGGAAUGACAUUUGUGGAAGUCGUGAAAAAACAAAAUCAACGCUCGACAAUGCUUUUAUUUGGAGCAUUGAUUUUUUUCACGAUUUCCAUGAAUGUAAUUCUAUGACGAAACUUUGCAAUCACCCAAAACAUUUGACACUGUUUGCCACUAAAAAAAUUAGAAUUUUUUAAUGUGUUUUCUAUAUUUUCUAGAUUGUACUAUUCAUGCUGACAUCAUAGCUUAUAUUGAGAUGGGGAAUUUCUAGCACUUUUGUCAUGAAUUUAAAUGGCAUGCACAUAUAGGUGAUGUUUUUCCGAACAUUUUGGUAUCUUAUUUGAUUUUUUUUUGAGUUAGUAUGAAUUUGUUAUGUAGUUUUGAAAGCGAUAGUCAAACAGUCAAAGGGCAAAAGCAUAAGAGGAGCAAACAAGCUUGGACAGAAACAAGGGUUUUUUGAAUUUAGGGGCAAAUGAAAUGGGUGUGUUGAUUGUACAUCAUGUCAUGCAUAUGUUGUGGUGUUUAUUGUGUGUUGAUUGUUGUUCCAAGAUGCUUCAGAGUGUGAGGAUCCGUUCAACUAUGUUGGUUCCUCUACUUCAUGAAUUCGUUCUUCUUCCAAGCAGGAUCUCAGGCAAGAUGAUCAUUUCCCUAGAUACUACUACUAUCAUUUCUAUGCUAGUUGUAUUGUUUCUAUCGCUAUGUCUCCCUGCCUACCACCUCUUGAUGGCAACCUCCCAACAUUGCCAUGAAAAGCCUCUAACCCUUCCACAUCCUAGCAAACUACUGUUUGGCUAUGUUAUGGCUUGCUCAGCCUUCUUUUAGCGUUGCUAGUUACAGGUGUAGUUUCUUUCCAUGUGGCAACAUGGGUUCUUUGUUAUAUCACCAUGUUAUUGCUAUUUAAUUUAAUGCACCUAUGUAGAAACGGGAGGAAGAGAGGAGUACCUCCAGCACGUGUGUUUGUGUGUGGCGGCUCAGACUGGGAACGGGAUGGCUGGAAGCCUCUUUUUAGGUCAGUCCCACUACAUGGCCCUCGGCCCUAAGAGAUAACUGGAUGGGUUGGGCCAUACUGGUUCAACAACCUAUAUACUUGGUAAAAGGUGGAAGUCUUGUUUUGUUCCACUUUUGCCGCCCUAGUUACCUAUGUACCGAUGUUAUGUUCCAUAUUGAGCGAUCCUAACAUGAUUGGGUUUGUUAUGGGGACCCCUUGGCUUCCAUUUUGGGAUAAAACUCAUCUCGCAAGGCCCAACAUUGGUACUAUUUGCUUAAUAACAACUAAUAAAAUUCGCAUAGGGCACUGAUCACCCCAUGGAUAAUUAAUCAACCCCUCGGGCCAUUGAUCCUCAAGAGUGUUGGUCCAACCCAUAGCACUAUGCAGGGCUAACCCAGGGCAACCUGGGUGAUUUCUAUUAGGCCUAUGUAUGUGUCGCUUAUCUGGCGUGUCCUAAGAAUGAGAUAUGCGGCUCUUAUCGGGGCCGUCGCCACGUCGGGCGGUCUUGGUGGACUUUUUUUACUCUUCUCGAGCGUCUUGUGUGAGGGAUUCCGAGGUUACUUUGGGCUAUCUCAAGGUUGAGGUUUUGCACGAGGAAUCUAAGGAGAUCACGAGUUUUCCGUGGGCGAGGUGUUUGACGUAGCUUGUGGUAGUUUGUGAUGGACUAAUUGGAUUAUCUGUAACACCCCAAAAUUUUGGACUUGAUUUAUUUUAUUUAAAUUUUUUGCCUUGGUGUCCUAGGAUUUUCUGCUAUUAGUAGAUCCUUCUUUGUUUUACUUUAUAAAAAUAUUUCUUUCUUACGGAGGAGUUUUGAAAGAUAUUAUUGAUUUGAGUGCUGCCUCAAAUAAUUCCAAUUAUUUCCAAAUCAAAUGAGGCAUUUUUAUAAUAAUUCUUUCAUUUAUUCAAAAAAUUACCUCUAAAUACUUUAAAGGCCUAAUUUGAACUACAACCAUGUGAUAACUUCUUUUAAAAGUUUCACAAAAACUUGGCAAUGACCUAAUAUGUUUCUGGAUGAAUUUUAUGUAAAAAUAUAGCCAAGUGUUUUGGAAAAUUUGAGCACAUUAUUUGAUUUUACAUUCUGGUCCAAUUGGAGUUUUGUACCACAACUCCUGGAUAUACUUCUUCAAAAAUUCUACAAAAAUUUGUAAUGGAAGGGGUUCAUAUAAAUAAGUUUUAUGCCAAAGCAUAUAUUUUUGUUUUGAAAUUUUUUGAGCACUACUUCUUAUUUUCUAUUCUAGACCAGAUUUGCAAUUUGUACUCAAACCAUAUUAUUUUAUUUUUCAAUGCCUUUGGAUUUUUUUUGCUUGUAGUAGACCGUGUAAAACAUUGGAGUACUAGAUUUCAGCCCCAUCUAACUUGUUUAAGACCUUGUUGCAUCAUCAUUUAGUUUUUGUCCAGAAAUGGACUUUUGCUAGAAUUGCAUUAGGGAGUUUUGGGGUUGCCAAAUCUAGCUAUGCCAUCAUUGGUUGCAUCUAAGGAGACCCCUAUCUCGGAGUUUUGGUGGCUAGAAAGAAUCUCUAGAUGCCCUUUGCAUUUUGUCAAACACGUGGUGUCCGUGACCAGAUUUGACAUGCCUUUUUUGUUUGUAUGGUGAAGUUUAACCCAAGACCUAACCAGCAUGUCUAAUACCCAUUUUCCACCCCCAUCGAUGUAUCUGGAGACUUUGGGUUCAAAUCCCUCACCAUGCCAUGCUUUGGCAAUGUGUCGAGCACCUAACAAGCAUGCCAAGAGCGCGCUCUAGUGCACGCGUUUGGCAGCCUAGAGUCCGAGCCGCCGUGUCCCUUCUAGCCUGCUCGUGUGACCUUAGCUAGUUCGAAGAGGCACCCCGACCCCUCCCUAUCUCCAGAUUCGCACGACAGCCUUCGGGAGCACCAUAGCCGUGUUGGCUGUCGAAGCACAAUGCUCCUUCUCCCAUAGCAGCACCGCCCGAGUCGCCCCGUGUGCCACGUGCCCUCGGACACCACCCCUGGAUAGCAAUCCUUGCCUGCCCGCACUGCUGCCACCCUUAGCCGCCCCUGUGCCAUCGUCACGGAUGUCGCCCUCGUUCUUUUCCGAAGAGUGCGCAGGCACUGACAGUUUCGACUAUUUAAGGAGUCCCCCCCGGAGCCACAUAGUAGCCAGCAAACAUCCUAGGAGCCGUCGCAAGGUUCCCCUAGCUCCAAUCGAGCCAGUAGGCCUCGUCUUCCCCAGCUCUGGUGGUUUCACCCGCCGUUGUGCCUAGGGUCGAUUCAACCAAGCCGAAGCCUUCCAGCCCCACCUGAACCCACCUUCGAUCCUUCCUCAGCCGCCUGGAGCUAACCCACCCCUCGGAAUGCGCCUAGAGCUCCCCCUUUAUCGCGCCUCGUCGGACCCGAAGCUCCCUCCGCCGUGGAGGAAGGGUUGCUCGUUCCCGAGCUCUGCUGCAUCCCGAUGUCCCAAAAAUGGGUGCAGAUCAUCCUCCUGAGCAGAUGCAUAGCCGGAGCUUCGCUUGAGGUGCACCGAGUCGCCGGCAAUUGUCAUCGGCGUGAGCUCCCUGCUCACUAUCAACGUGCACGGGAGGAAGAAGGAAGACCCGACAGAUGGGCCCCAUCUGUCGGUGAGUGGCCCGAUUUCCUCAGCCGCGCACCCACAUGAGUGUGUUUCCCCCUCGGGAAGGCGUGGUCGGCCUGGUGCGUCUUCGAUUUGCGAAAGCAUCUUCUGAGCUUAAACGGUUUCUUUCUGUUUCGCUUUUAAAACUGAUUCUUAACCCAACUUUGACUGGCUCUAACUUUUAAAAUAAUAAUCCAAUUGAGUUGAUUCCUUUUCUCACCUCUUUAAAAUUCAGUCUAGUUUAUUUUAGUAUUUAUUUGUAAAUUUUCAAAGGCAACUUUUUGUGUUGUUUUUAUAUUGUGUGUUAAUUAGAAUAUUUUUAAAAAUAGGUCAUGGAGAGAGGAGCAAAAACUUGCAAAAGUUUUAGAGUGAACCGUACCUCUCUACACUUGGAAGGCAAGAAUUCUGAACCUACAUCUAUCUUGGUUGUCUGUGGGUUGCUUGAUGAUAUUAACAUUAUAGUUAUGCUAAACAUGUGGUGUUAUUUUAUGUGACAAUUAUGAUUGUGGCUUCAUGAUUUGGAAGUAAAGUUGUUACAUUUGAGAUGCAUGGGACAACAGUCGCACCUUCCUAUCAUACAUGUCUAUCGGAUGGGAUUCGGUAAGAGUUGGUGUCUUGUGGGGACACGACCGUGGGACUCACAUCUCGUGGGACGAGAGUGGUCGGCAAGGCAUGUUAGGGUACGAGAGGUAGUGAUUCUAGCUGCAUUUUGUUGGUGCUAAUCAUGCACGUAAUACUUAAACCUCGUGAGUCGGCCGUAGAUCGAGUCUUGUCAUUAUGUCACCUUAACUCAUUCGUGCUGCCACGAUCUUCCCAAAAGGGGAUAUGUUUCAGUAGGUUGUAAACCUAUUACGAGGUACACACCAAGUAGAGGGGCCGGGAUGAAGGUAUCCACGACCAUGGACUAAAGCCAGUCAUCCUAUCAGGGGGCAUGGGUGUUUCCGGUCUGGGACCGAGAGGGAAAUGCCUUUCCCUUGUAGAGUGCGGUAUAAAUUUGAUCCCAUGCUAGUUGAGGUUGGAGCCUCCUCGCCUUAUGGUUUUGCCCUGCAACGUAGUCCGGUUGGAGCUGGGCUUCGUAGGGGUAAAAUGGGUGUGUGCUGGUUCUGAGUGUUUACUUCUGAAACACCAUACGCGGGAUUAGUCCGAGUGACUAUUGGAACCCGUGUGCUAUCGGUAAAGAGUACACCCUCUACAGAGUUAAAACUAUUCGAGCAGCCGUGUCCACGGUCUAGGACAACUGGUUGACUAGUCAAGUGUCGGUCUGAGUGUUGGUCUUCGGAGGUAGUUAAAGAAGUAUGGGACUAAUUAGGAAUUAUAGUGGAUGAUUAUAAACAUUAUUUUCUAUGGACUGACCCCUAUGAUUACGAUUGUUGAAUAUCCCUGGGGCGAUUCUACCUCCUGGAUAUUCUUUAUUUAUAUUUCACAUAAGCCCUUCAUGUGGUGUCGCUGAGACGCCCGACUGUGGCAUGUUUAUUAUAAGCCCUUUGUGUGUUAUCGCUCAGAUGCCCGACUGUGGCAUGUUUAUUAUAAGCCCUUUGUGUGGUGUCGCUCAGAUGCCCGACUGUGGCAUGUUUAUUAUUUCAUAUAAGCCCUUUAUGUGGUGUCGCUCAUAUGUCCGACUGUGGCGUCUUUAUUAUUUCAUAUAAGCCCUUUAUGUGGUGUCGCUCAGACGCCCGACUGUGGCAUGUUUAUUAUUUCAUAUAAGCCCUUUAUGUGGUGUCGCUCAGGCGCCCGCCUGUGGCAUGUUUUAAAUUACAUACAUUACUAUUACUCUUAUUGAUUGCUUAUUAAAUUUCAGUAUGAUUAUAUUUUCAUUGCUAGCACUUGAGUAGUACUUUUGGGUUGACGAAGUAUUGUGGCAUUAUUAUAAUUAACCCUGCCAUUUUAUGUUUGUGUCAUGAUGUUUGCGAGUAUAUUCAAAGUAUUCACUCGCUUGUCCCUGGCUAUUGUCUUGGCCAGAUUGCUUGUUUGGAGAGGAGGAACUUGGCGAUAAACCCGGAACCUAGGCAUCGAAGACAGUAGCCGCGUGAGAUAGGAAUUAUCUAGGUCAACUGUUCCUGUGGGAAAUGGAGUCCCAUAGACGCUGGAGAUCCCCGAAGUGCUUCCGCCAUCAACAAGUAGAAACCUUUUGAUGUACUCUAUGUACCACCUCAGUCUUGUACUUCAAGUUUUAUUUUUGCUUGGACAUAUGUAUCAAGGAUUCGUGCACCAGCUAACAGUAUUCGUGGGGCUGGAAUGCAUAAGGGUCAUUUUGAAGGGAAAUUAGAAUCCCCAAAAAUCUGGUCCUAACAACCUUGGUAUCAGAGCGAGGCUGUCCAUUGGCUAAUUCUAUCUUAGCCGGGUCAAUAAACAUAGGAAACCACCCAAUCAAACCUACCCAAACAAGUAGCCUGAAUAGUGUUCGCCAACACCUUUAGACAAUCGGUACCCAAUCUAUCCGACUAGCCCUGUGGUCACACGCCAGUGACUCACGACCUAUUUGUCUUUUCUCACAAUCUUGCGAGAGAAGACUCAGUUUUCCUUUCUAUAAAGGGAAUGAUUGCACAUCGUAACACAUCACGACCACUAACACCUCAAGAUACAAGGCCCCAUUGUCCACAAUGAGACCACUGCUGCAGACCAAGGAGGUUUUGUAGCCAUCCUAGCCAACCUGACUCGUCGUGCCUUUGCCAUGGAAGAGCCUUCGGAGUAAGUUGUAUACAAAGAGCGCACGACUGAUGCCAUUCGUCACUUCUGGGCCACGCUACACAUCUACGGCAGGAGUGUCACCCUAGAGCGUCCCCAUAGGUUCACUAGAAGGACAACUUCCUACGAGCCCAAAGCCAUCCAGCUGGCAGCUCGGGAGGCAAUAGUUCAACUCCGACACAUGUCGCGAGGAGUUAACUGUCGCUCGUUCUACUACUACCCUAGCCGUGAAGGUUAUGGUAGGACAAUCCAAGUCGCGAGCAGAGACCAUGAGCCGACCCCGCCAUGUUGCGCAAGAGGCACUGUACGCUCAGGUCACCCUCGACCUGCUUGCAGCUCGUGAAGAGUUGGCCCGUCUUGACCCAGGGAGGAGAGAAGAGGAGCCCGACGCCAUCAACCCUGUAGUGUUGUUUGGGAGACCGAUUGAGCUCGAGAGGUCUGUCCUAGCUGCUGAACAGAAUCAUGCGCCUAUCUCCCUUGAGGAGCUUCACCGCAUUUUGGGGAUUCCCUCCAAUGGAACGGUAGCCACAACACCCCGCAAUGGACAACACCGCUACCCUAACCUUCUAGCUCCACCUCCUUCCCCGAGCAACCGUGGCGCCGUAGUUCCAGCAAACUCGACGUCCGCAAGACCCACUCACCUAGAUGUUAACGAAGUAUACUAAGCCUUAUCCCUGCUUUCACUACAAGAAUAUGCUAAUACACGACGCCAUUUUUUCGUCGCUACAUCGUCACGGUUUUCAAUUUACGACGAACUCACGACGAAAUACCAAGCGUCGAAAACGGAGCGUCAGAAAUGAACAGCAGCGACGUUUUGAUCAAAAUCGUCGUAACUUUUACGAUGAUUCCUGGGUUGUCGUAACCUUUACGACGAUCCUAAAUCAUCGUUGGCAAUCAAACCCAGUCCUACGUGGCAGUCCUACAUGGCAAAAUUACGACGAAAUCAAAACGUCAGGGUUGAAAUCAGCCCAACCCAUUUCAAUUGAUCACAUGGGCUGGUUUUAUUUUUUUGGCCUUUUCUUAUUGGGCUUCUUUUUGGGCCUUGGCCUAUUUACAGCCAUUUUAGUAUAUUUUUUCGAAAUUUUUUUGGGCCCUAACCUUUUAGUGCGCAAAUACAUUUGGUCCAAUUUCAGUUUUGGCCUUUUUUCAUUUUUGAAUUCAGAAUUUUUUUUCCAGAACUUGGUUUCAUUUCUAUUUAUUGGGCCUUUUCAACCAAUUAUUUGUCCAAUAUUAAAUGCAGCACUAUUUCAUAUUCAAAUCAAGAAAACUCCAAGUCGAAUUAAAAUCAUCCAUCAUAUAACAUCACAUAAUACAUCUCCCAGGUUUACAUAACACAAUAACUGAUCUCAUGGAUACAUUUCCUUACACAGGAAUAUAACAAAAACGGACAGAAUAUAGCAAAUACAUUUCCUCCAGCUUUCCAUUCACCCGUAUCGCGCCAGCGUACUUCUCUUGAAAACAGAUCCAUAGCAAUGGCCUUCAGCAUGAUCAACAAUGUGGAGGAAACAAUUCAACCGCUGUAAAGAUAAGAAUGAUAAUUAAUAAUCCAUUUCUUCCAAGUAGGAGAAGAUAUUAGUAUUAGUUCACAUUAUGCAAGUUCAACCACUGAGGUAUACCAAUUUCCAGGUCUAUACAGAGAUAUAUUUAUUUAAAUUCUGCAAAUAUUGCCAAAGAUAACUCGGGUUAAAUGUUGUUUUAUCAGCAGGGGACAAACCAUUUAAAUUCUGUAAAAGGCUACACCACUGAACAAUGGAGUAACAACCUAUUUAUUUAAACAAAAGGAGGCAUCAAUUGAGGACAUAGUAAAUAAGUCCAGUUAUCCAAAUACUAAAUGUACUGUGAUUGUGAGGUCUCAAUUUCUGUGUUGCCAGAGUAAGGUCUUUGUUCCGUGCGUUAGAUAUGAUGAAAUCAUAUAUAAAUGCAUGACAAAUAGUGCAAACUACAGUAGUCACCAUAUAUUUAUAUGGCAAUAUAUCUCAUUGUGGGUUCUUGCAGCUCUGCCUGAUAUUAUUCUCCUAACAAUGUCCGGGUUUGAAUUGAACAAGAGUGUUCUUGUGCUCGUCCUCAGGACGUACUAGCUAGAGGGCUGAACCAUGAGAACAGUGUAUCAACUUAGGAGAUGUAAACUAUUGUCUGUUUCAGUGAAUCUAUGCUCAAUUUCAUGUUCGUUGGCUGCACUAGGAAUGGUGAACAUGGGACUGCAGAAGAACAGGGGACAGGGCCAGCAUUACCAGGUCCUGUGGGAUGCACGUGAGAAUGCUUCCAAGGAGAACGUUAGCCCCACCAAAGAAUCUGAUGAGGUUCAAGACAAUGGGUAAGUAAUUGAAUGGACAUCUUUUAUGUACUAGCAUUUUUAGUGGCUUCUGUAUUUUAAAAAUAUCUUCUGUGUACAAUCAUUGGCUGAGUCCCUUUAUGUAUUUAAGUUAAAUCUCCAUUUGCACCUGAGUGAAAAUCUGAAUUCGUUCUAGCUGUUACAUUCCAUUAGCCUUGUCAUUCUUGUAAAAGCUUGAUUUAUUUUAUUUACAGCCUUGUCAUGUAUAAAGAUAAGCAUGAUAAAUCCAUUUCUUUUUGAGGAUGCAAAAGUUUAAAAAGAGUGUUACCAUUCAGAGACACAGUCCUCGCAGAAAAUAUGUUUACAGCGAAGGAGGACAUGAACAUACAUCUUUUCCUGAUAGAUGGCACACAUAUCACCAGCAACGAUUGCCUGCAGCGAUUGCCUGCAGUGAGUUCCACCAACACACAGAUACAUUAGCAAUCAGAAAAUUCUUAGCUCCUGACUGAAAUAGCAAAACAGACAGAAGAACUAAUAUGUUAUCCAUAUUCACUAGAUUGUGGACUACUGAGAACUUAUAUACUGGAAUAGAAGGUAAAUAACAAAACAAUAAUGCGGUGUAGUCAUAUUUAUAUAAUAUAAGAAGAGCAACACAGAAUUAGAAACUUCCUCAGGUUUUGUGUUGCAAUUAAAAAUAAGAGUUAAGUGACACUGAAACUUCCAAUGCGGUAACCCGAUAUUUCGAGCGGUAACCAAAUCGUUGAUUUGAACACAAACAAUGAAUAGUACUACAAAUGCAUUAUGCCAGCAUACAUUUAUUAUACUGACUUGGUAGAUAAUAGAAAGUAAUUCUUAUUCAGGAAUUUUAAAUAUGAAAGCAAACAGAUGCUCGAUCUUGAUAACAACUUAAAUUUCCAAGUUCAGGAAUGAGAAGCUGAAUUGUACAUGGUUGUGAUGGAAUUUAGCAUCUCUAGCACUAUUACUGAGCAUCUACACCAUCAGAACUAAUAUGUGAAGCGAAAUCAAGGGUAUUUAGUAAUUGUUAUGCUCACCUAAGAGAAUAAGAGGUUGCAUGAUAGGCAAAAGUACCAAAUCAAAUAUGGAAUACCUUAACUGUAAAUUGCCUAACAAUAGGGGCAUCUCUUUUUUAUGAAAAAGGAGUAAACGGAACAAUGAGCGGUACAUCAGCACGCCAUAGUUUCAUAAAUUGGAUGACUUGUAUCCUUACUGAUCUCAUGAAAAAAGGCAGAGCUAAUCCACACUAAACUUCACAUCCCUACCAAUCACACAGGAGGAAAGUGCACAGACCUCAUCACCAUCUUUUAUACCAAAUGCAAGCAACGUUGCCUUAUCAUCCGUCAUUUUCUCAUCCUUGAAGCAUAAGCAGAAGUGGCUCCACACGUGCUGCCUAAAACAAGCAAAGCAAUAACCUUAAAUGUUAAGUUCCCACCACAAAAAUUUAAUUCAAACAAACAAUGACAGUAAAUUCCACUCUAAAUUGCCCAUUAUUCAUUACUUGCCAGAGAAAAAUAAACCUCUCUUCAAUUAUUUCAAUUAUCCACAUGGCAUCCAAGCGCAAUUAAAAGCAAACAACUUGCUAAAUCACACACCCCUUGUAUACGUGGCAUACCAAGUGACAGCAUUGUAUGUCGUGGUAUAGAGUGACGAACACACCUUGUAUGGCUGCCUUGAGCUCCCACAGCGGCGGACCGGGCGAUUCGCACAUCUGCAUUAACCAGAAGCAACACACGCAGCGUCACAUACUUGCAAUCCCCACGCCGCGGCAGGAAUCAAUCUAGGGCAAAACCAAACCACCCACAUAGUUCGGGGGGAAUUAAACGGAAGGGGGCGGGAUUUGGUACCGAAGUAGGAAUCGUCGAGCUUGCGGACGGUGAGGCGUAGGGGCGGCUCGGGGAGGCGGUGGUAGGAGAACCUUGUUUGUCCGCAUGCGAGCACGCUGACGCAGUCCACCUUGGCUGCACGGGCGGCGAUGUCCUCGAGGUCGAGGGCGAACUCAAUGUCGGAAGAGCCCAUGGACGACGAGCGGGUGGCGGCCGACGGCAUCACGGAGCAUCCACGGAGGGGGAGGGGUUUGCCAGGGUUGGUGGUGGUGGCGCCCUUAUCUCGGCGAGGCUAUUGCGGAGUGGCCGGCCUCCAAAUCCAUGUAGCUCGCGGGAGGCUCGACCCAGGAGUCGUAGAGCGACGGCGCGGUGGGGAGGUCGGGGUAGGGGCUAGGGUUACGUGUGCGCUGUGGGAGAGGGCGCCGACGUGGUAGGUGUGUGUUGUGGGAGAGGGAGACGGCGGCGAGGUAGGUGUGCGCUGUGGGAGAGGAAGGAGGUGGCGGCGGCGAGGAGAUGGGGAGUAGAGAGGGGUCUGAGCUAGGGUUUGGGCUGCGGUUGGGGUUUUCUUUUUUUCAUUUUAAUCUAUAGGCAUGGAUGGAUGGAUGUAAGAUGGUGAGAUAGAUGGAUGGAUGGGUGGGCACCAUGUCAUCGAUUCAUGGGAAGAGAUUUGAUUGGUUCGAAAAAUCAGUGAUUUACAAUAGUUUUCGAGUACUAAAAAUAGAGGUAUUUUAUGAAGGCGAGUACUAUGCGUCGGCGCGCCGGCCCAAUAGUUGGGCCGAUCACGUCUCAGCCGCCCGAUGCAGCGAACCGCUGUCGUACGAUCUAUACGUGACCCCAUCAUCAUAACGUUCGUCAUUAACACGCAAUCGCGUAACUUCCCAUGGGUCCAAAAUCAGCGGCCGGCCUUUCCUCAUCCUCCAACUACCUCCAAACACAUGGUCGUACUACUACUCACAAGCAUGCCUUCCUAGAAAAAAUAGAGACAAUGCAGCAUCACGUGAACGCCUGAAGGCACCGUCGGCCGGCCACCCUUAGAGUAGCCGCUGGCCACAGCCGCCGCAACGGCUCACAUCAAUUCAUCUAGGCUCAUGCAGUUUUUAUGGAAACAAGAGCCUCCUCAAAGAUUUUCGUCGUGGGUCUUUUGUUGAAGCUUUUUAAAUCUAUGGUCGAAGCUUUUUUUACAACGGUUGCAACUUUUUCCAUCAUGCUUGAAGCUAUUUGAAUCUAUGAUCGAAGCUUUUUUUACAACGGUUGCGACUUCUUCUGUUAUGCUUGAAGCUUUUUUAAUCUCCGGUUGAAGCUUCUUGAAUCUAUGGUUGAAGAUUUUUUUACACUGGUUGCAACUUUUUUUCUUACAUAGUGCCCGCUUGAAGCUUUUUUAAUCUCCGGCUGAAACUUCUUGAAUCUAUGGUUCAAGCUUUUUCUACACUAGUUGCAACAUUUUUUCUUAUAUAGUGCUCGCUUGAAGCUUUUUUAAUCUCCGAUUGAAGCUUUUUUAUGGUCGGUUGUAUCUUCCUCAGAGGACGGUAGCAUCUUUGCAGUUGCACAUAACUAGUUGUAGCACCCCCACUUAGAAUUGGUUGUCGCACCUCGCCGAGAACUGUUGUAGCGAACCAUGGUUGUAGCAUUUACCGGCAGUGCCAGCAUCAACCCAACUGACGCGACAAUGUUACCAGGAAAAUUAAUAAACUAGUAAUACGACAAUUAUUUUAAAUAAGUGUUCUUAGAAAUGGGUCAUCAUGUGUGAAGAUUCAUGUCUUUCAAGCAAAAUGAUCAAUCUUAUGGCCACAUUCAUGACAUAGUUUGUUGAAAUGAUAUAAUAUUAUGCACAAGGGUGCAUAUUGGAAUGACAAACAAUGUUGAUUAAGGAAGUUUUCAUUUUCCUUGUAUGAAAAAUUCAUUUUCCAUUUUUCAAGUGACCAAAAUGAGUUUUUUUGUGAAGGAUCUACCAUAUAUUUGUUUCAAAAUUGGAUCAAAUCAUUUUUAUAAAAUACUAGUCCAUAUUUAAUGUACAAUUGACAAAAUGGUUGGGUGUUAAAAGAUUUUAGCCCCCUCUCGUGAAAAAGACAAAUUUAUGUUGAUUCAGCCGGAAGCGGGUUAAAUUUGAACUGCAUCUGCAUUAUCGUUUGCUCUUUAUUUUUCCCAAAAAUCAUUUAUAGGUAUAUAAGUAUCUAUUUAAUCAGAAAUACAUGGUGUGGUGCCUUGACAUCGAGGUUUGGAUGGUGGUCAAGGGCCCCAACUCCAGAGCGCGUGAACUUGCAUGCCAGUCGCAUGGUCACCGCCUAACCGUUGCAUUGCCACGCGUUCUAGGUGGAAUAGUCAUGUCUGGUGGGUUGGACAAUCCCUCGAUAGGUGUUAGCAAGAAUAAUACAAUAGAAUAAUCUCAUGAGGAGACUGAACUAAGCAAAAACAUGAAUUAGCAGCCAAGUGUUUGAUUAGCGGUGCGGGUAAUUCACAUAGACAAUGGGCCUAAAUUUUGGCUGAGGAUGAUCAUCUACUAAGGAGACUCUCUUGGCAAAUUUUUAUCUCAAAUGGAUGAAUCUAGGUGGCACUUGCUUUGCAAAGUAACACAUUGUGCAGAAAUAUGGAUGUUGAAGCUAGGAUCAAAUGAAUGAAUGGAUUGAGCUGAAAUUUGGUGUAUGAUGUUAAUUUGGGCAUAUGAAGGCAGUGUAUAAAAAUUAUACCAUUUGGACAUGCCAAAGUGACACUUCCUUCACAAUGUGCCAAUCCGGACAGAAAAUGGUAAUUAAAACUGGGCUCACAUAGAUGAUUGGAUUGAGCUUAAAUUUGGAGGAGGAUGAUAAUUUGGGCACAUUAAGGUACUGUAAAAAAUUCAUAAAAUUUGGAUAAAUAAAAAUUGUACUUCCUUCACAAUGCUCUCUACUGAACAGAAUAUUGGGAAAAAUAUUGAGAGAAAUUGGCUGAAUUAAAUGAGCUAAAAUUUGGUGCAGUGAGGUUAUAUGGUCAGUAUCAUCCCGUGGUAAAUUUUUCUUGAACUAUAAAGCAAUAUAAAACAUAGUUGCUUCACAAAAUGAAAAUAUUACCAAAAACAAAGAUUGGAUGAUGAGCUCACAUGAAUUGUUAGAUGUGGCUAAAAUUUUAUGGAGAGCUACGUUUUGGGCACAUAGAUGAUGUGGAAAAAAUUCAACCCAUCAAGAUAUUCCUAUCUAGUACUUCCUUCACAAAGCUGUUAGCUGAACACAAACUUUGGAAAUUUGCUGAGAAAGAUUUACUAGGCAAAUCGUUACGAAAGUUUUCAUGAGGAAAUGAUUUGGAUAGGAAAGAGUGCCCAAACAAUAUGAGGGUAAUCAAAGAAAUAGAAAUAACACUUCCUUCACAAAGUGCUAUUCUGAACAGAAUAGGAAAAUGAAUAUUUUUGAAUUAUUUUUGAACUAUGGAAGGGAGGGUUUUCACAUAUUUGAGAAAUAUAUAGUCCAAAGUAUUUAUGAGAAUUUUUCGAGAAUUUCCGGAAUUAUAGAAUAGUAGGUUGCUUCACAAACUAGGAUCAGGUGGGAUAGAAUGGACCCACGAGUGACAUGUCAACAUAGUUAGAACAUGUUACAACAUUUUUACAAUCGUCGUAAAAGUUAUGACGAUCUCAUCUUAUGCGGUUACGACGUUUUGACUCACAUCGUCGUAAUUUAUAUGUAGAUUUGAUCCCCUCAAACGGUUUACGACGAUCUCGGAUGAAAUCGUCAUAGAUUUAUGACGAAUUCAUCAACGACAUUUGAAAAAACAUCACAUGUGAGCAUAUUUCUUGUAGUAAGUGUUCUCUUGGGUGUAAUGUAUGAGCUGGUAUUUUCAUAAAAUAAAUGGGCAAGCUGUUUUGUACCAUUAUUUUUAUAAGUACCACAAAUAGCCAUCUGUGUUUGCUUUUGGGCUACAUAGCUAUAGUUGGACAUAACCACGGGAAGCCGAUUCCUAAUAGACCACCACAGUAAUAGGUCACAUUUCAUGAACUAUUAUAUGUGGCCUUGACCGAACCAUGUUAGAGCGAAGCCUACUACGAGACCAACCCAACCUACAUCUUGUGUCCCAACCCCGCCUAUAUAAGGGUCACCCAGUGAUCUUUCCAGCAUCCCUCACCUUGUGCACUACAUUCACAGCCUUUUACCAUGCUACCCCAAGGGAGUUACCUCAGAACUCCGGAUGCAACUCCGGGCAGUUUUGUCAAAGUAUUGUGGGAUUUUACCUGCACUACCAUGGGUUCUUUCCUUCCACCCCGGUACGAGCUGUUCAAAUCAAGGAUCACUUCCACUACCUCGAAAUAUUGGGCAGUUGUGCACAUGUUCCUAGUGGACCCUAACCAAAACCCCACGGAAGUCUGCUUCAGUGGAAAAUCUAUGCCUACCCUAGAAAUGGCCAUAGAGGUUGCUGCCUACGAAUCGGUUACUCGUCUUCGAUAUGCCGUACCAUAUGCGAGUGAAAGGGGUACUUUUAUUUUCCGAGCCGUGUAGUGCCCGGAGGAGCAGCGUCUUUUUCGGGAACCCGUUCAGAUAGAGACCCCGUAUUGAUCAGGCUCGUGCAAUAUGUCAUCGCUCAAGAGUGCUUGACACAACACGUGACCGAUUUUUCUCCAGAACCUCGCCAUCCAAAACCCUUAGAUCGCCAUUGGCGAACCCCUAAGGAUAGACCCAGCAGGACGCAUUUUGUGUGUCCUCCAACCGCUCGCCCCUGAAGACAAAGUAGAUAUUCCACUGCCAGGAAUAUUCCCUCAUGAUCGUUAGAUUUUUCUUUUGCGUGUUCCGUAAACGCCUAGUUGUAUCUGCUAGUAUAGUUAUGAUUGUGUAAUGCGAUGGUUGUACCUUGCCUUGUAUAUUACUGCAUGCACGUGUUUUAUUUUAGUUGUGUGAUCGCUGCGGUUUUUACCUUGAAUUGCUUUUCUUGGGAUGACCCUUGCGUGAUUAUUUUUCUUAAUACAACUACUGCUACAAAAAUAUUUUUCAACAAGAUUUCAUUCGCAUGCCAAUCGGCUCACAAGCACACUCACUCUGCCAAUACACUAAGAGCAGAACCACACACACAGAACCCUAGCUAAUUGCCUCACUAACACCACGGUUUCUCCGAAAGGAAUACACCAUGAGUAUUUAUUUUUGCAAAAAUGCUACCAGCACACUAGCAGCCACCCCUGCAUUUUUUUGCGCUCGCCUAGUCUUCAUGCUCAUCGCCACUACGGAGAGCCGCCACCCGAGCAGCGGCAUCGCGACGAUCAUCCUGUAUCAUCACGCAUAGGAGCAUUGAGAAUCCGAUCAAUGCGCUGUUAUUCCAGCCAGAAGGACUAUCAUCCACCCCGGGUGCUCGUCCACCAUUGGAGCCUCGCUUCGAGCUCCUGCAAACAGAGAGGACGAGGAGGAGAAAGCAGGAAGAGUGAUGCCGAGUGUGAGGUAGAGGAGGGAACGACGUGGUCGUUUUAUAGCCCGAGAUUGGUGUGCGAUGGACGCAGUCCACCAGCACCGCUCGUCACUCGAUCGUUGGUGUUCGGAAACGAAUCUGCGAGCAGUGCCAACAAAGCGCUCGCCCGCGACGCGAGUGCUUGCUGCGCCGGCAGCUAGAGCACCGCGCACUACCACGGUACGGCUCUAGAAGCCUGCGAGCUAGAAGCCACGCGUGGAGAAAGCAACAGAAAGCGAGACAGGGAGAGGAGAUAAGAGAGCCGGAGGAAGAAGAAAAGACUGACCGUGGGCCCUGGACCCACGUGUCAGCGAGAGAGAACACUAUGCACUCGGGUACGACAAGCAAUUCGGAAAUUGGAAAUUUUCCUUUUUCAAAAAUCUUGUCGUAGCCAUCUGUAGCAACACCUCGUUCGCCCCAAACAUAGCAUUAGUUUGUAGCCCCUGUACCAUCACAGUUGCACCAAUUAUCGUUGUUACUAUAACCUCCGGGAGUAAUUAUUUUUGUGUAGAUACUAGAGUGUGGUAGGAGUUUAUAUUUUCCAACGUCCCUAACAAAUCUCGAGGACGAGAUUUUUCUUAAGGGGGUAGAGUUUGUAACACCCCAAAAUUUUGGGCAUGAUUUAUUUUANCUUAAGGAGGAGUUUUGAAAGAUAUUAUUGAUUUGAGUGCUGCCCCAAAUAAUUCCAUUUAUUUCCAAAUCAAAUGAUGCAUUUUUAUAAUAUUUCUUUAAAGUUCAUUUAUUAAAAUUUUUACCUCUAAAUACUUUAAAGGCCUAAUUUGAACUACAACCAUCUGAUAACUUCUUUUAAAAGUUUCACAAAAACUUGGCAGUGACCUAAUAUGUUUCUGGAUCAAUAUUAUGUAAAAAAUACAACAAAGUGUUUUGGAAAAUUUGAGCACGUUAUUUGAUUUUACAUUCUGGUCCAAUUAGAGUUUUGUACUACAACCCCUGGAUAUACUUCUUAAAAAAUUCUACAAAUAUUUGUAAUGGUCAAGGGGUUCAUAUAAAUGAGUUUUAUGCAAAAACAUAUAUUGGUCUUUUGAAAAUUUAGAGCACUACCUCUUAUUUUCUAUUAUGGACCAGAUUUGCAAUUUGCACUACAACCAUAUUAUUUUAUUUUCCAAUGCCUUUGGAAAUUUUUGUGCUUGUAGUAGACUGUGCAAAACCCUUAAGUACUAGAUUUCAGCCCCAUCUAACUUGUUUAAGACCCUAUUGCAUCAUCAUUUAGUUUCUGUCCAGAAAUGAACUUUUGCUAGAAUUGCAUUAAGAAGUUUUUGGGUUGCCAAAUAUAGUUAUGCCAUCAUUGGUUGCAUCCAAGGAGACCCCUAUCUGGGAGCUUUUGUGUCUAGAAAGCAUCUCUAGAUGCCCUUGGCAUUUUGUCAAACACAUGGUGUCCCUGACUAGAUUUGACAUGUCUUUUUGUUUGUAUGGUGAAGUUUAACCCAGGACCUAACCGGCAUGUCUACUACCCAUUUGCCACCCCCAUCGAUGGAUCUGGAGACUUUGGGUUCCAACCCUUGGCCAUGGCAUGCUCUGGCAAUGUGUCGAGCAACUAAGAGGCAUGCCAAGAGCGCGCUCUGGAGCACGCGUUUGGCAGCCUAGCGCCCGAGCCGCCGCGUCCCUUCUAGCCCGCACGUGUGAUCUUAGCUCGUUCGAAGAAGCACCCCCGACCCCUUCCUAUUGUCAGAUUCGCACGACAGCCUCCGGGAGCACCGUGGCCGUGCCACUCAUCUAAGACAGCAUCAACUGCUGCUACACAACGCUCCUUCUGCCAUGGCAACGCCGCCCGAGCCACCCCCAUGUGCCACCUCCCCUCGGACACCACCCCUGCAUAACAAUCCUUGCCUCCCCGCACUGCUGCCACCCUUCGCCAUCCCUAUGCCAUCGCCAGGGAUGUCGCUGAUGUUCUUAUCCCAAGACCGCCGUGGCACAAGUUCUUUUGGCUAUUUAAGGAGGCCCCCCGGAGCCACAUAGUAGCCAACAAACAUCCUAGGAGCUGUAGCAAGGUUGCCCUAGCUCCAAUUGAGCCAGUAGGCCUCGUCUUCCCCAUCUCCGGUGGUUUCACCCGCCGUUGUGCGUCGGGUCAAUUCGGCCGAGCCGAAGUCUUCUAGCCCCACCUGAAUCCACCUUCGAUCCUUGCUCAACCGCCUGGAGCUACCCCACCCCUCGGAUGCGGAUAGAGCUCCCCCUUGCUCGCGCCUCGUCGGACCCGAAGCUCCCUCCGCCGUGGAGGAAGGGUUACUCGCUCCCGAGCUCCGCCGCGUCCCCAAGAACCAAAAAUGGGUGAGGAUCAUCAUUCUGAGCAGAUGCAUAGCCGGAGCUUCGCCCGAGGUGCACCGAGUUGCCGACAAUUCCCGCCGGACUGAGCUCCCCGCUCACUGUCAACGUGCGUGGGACGAAGAAGGAAGACCCGACAGAUGGGCCCCAUCUGUCGGUGAUUGGCCCGAUUUCCUCAGCUGCGCACCCGCGUGAGUGUGUUUCCCCCUCGAGAAGGCGUCGUCGGUCUGGUGCGUCUUCCAUUUGCGAAAGCGUAUUCUGAGCUGAAACGUUUUCUUUCUGUUUUGAUUUUCAAACAGAUUCUUGACACAACUUUGACUGGCUCUAACUUUUAAAAUAAUAAUCCAAUUGAGUUGAUUCCUUUUCUCAGCUCUUUCAAAUUCUGUCUCGUUUAUUUUAGUAUUUAUUUGAAAAUUUGUAAGACUACUUUAUGUGUUGUUUUUAUAUUGUGUGUUAAUUAGAAUAUUUUUAAAAAUAGGUCAUGGAGAGAGGAGCAAAAAGUUGCAAAAUUUUUAGAGUGAACCCUACCUCUCUACACUUGGAAGGCAAGCAUUCUGAACCUACAUCUAUAUUCGUUGUGUGUGGGUUGCUUCAUGAGAAUAACUUUAUAGUUAUGCUAAACAUGUGGUGUUAUUUUAUGUGACAAUCAUGCUUGUUGCUUCAUGAUUUGAAAGUAAAGUUGUUACAUUUGAGAUGCAUGGGACAACAGUCACACCUUCCCAUCAUACAUGUAUCCGGAUAAGAUUCAGUAACAGUCGGUGUCUUGUGGGGACACGACCCUGGGACUGACAUCUCGUGGGACGAGAGUGGUCACCAAGGCAUGUUAGGGUACGACAGGUAGUGACCGUGUCUGCAUUUUGUUGGUGAUAAUGAUGGAGGUAAUACUUAAACCUCCUCAGUCAACCGUAGAUCAAGUCUUGUCAGUAUGUCACCUUAACCCAUUCGUGCUGCCAUGAUCUUCCCAAAAGGGGAUAUGGUUCAGUAGGUCGUAAACCUAUUACGAGGUUUGCACCAAGUAAAGGGGAUGAGAUGAAAGUAUCCAUGACCAUGGACUAAAUCCAGUCAUCGGUCAGGGGGCAUGGGUGUUUCUGGUUUGGGACCGAGAGGGAAAGGCCUUCCCUUGUAGCGCGCGGUAUAAAUUUGAUCCCAUGCUAGUCGAGGUUAGAGCCUCCCCGUCUUAUGGUUUUGCCCUGCAGCGUAGUGUGGUUGGAGCUGGGCUUCGUCAGGUAAAAUGGGUGUGUGCUGGUUCUGAGUGUUUACUUCUGAAACACCGUACGCGGGAUUAGUCCGAGUGACUAUUGGAACCCGUGGGCUGUGGGUAAAGAGUACACCCUCUACAGAGUUAAAACUAUUCGAGUAACCGUGUCCACGGUCAAGGACGAUUGGUUGACUAGUCAAGUGUCGGUCUGAGUGUCGGUCUUCGAAGGUAGUUAAAGAAGUAUGGGAUUAAUUAGGAAUUAUGGUGGAUGAUUAUAAACAUUAUUUUCUCUGGACUAACCCCUAUGAUUAUGAUUGUUGAAUAUCCCUGGGAUGGUUCUACCUCCUGGAUAUUCUUCAUUUAUAUUUCAUCUAAGCCCUUUAUGUGGUGUCGCUGAGACGCCCGACUGUGGCAUGUUUAUUAUAAGCCCUUUAUGUGGUGUCGCUCAGACGCCCGACUGUGGCAUGUUUAUUAUUUCAUAUAAGCCCUUUAUGUGGUGUCGCUCAGAUGCCCGACUAUGGCAUGUUUAUUAUUACAUAUAAGCCCUUUAUGUGGUGUCGUUCAGACAACCCACUCUGGCAUGUUUAUUAUUUCAUAUAAGCCCUUUAUGUGGUGUCGCUCAGACGCUCGACUGUGGCAUGUUUUAAAUUACAUACGUUACUAUUACUCUUAUUGAUUGCUUAUUAAAUUUCAGUAUGAUUAUAUUUUCAUUGCUAGUACUUGAGUAGUACUUCAGCGUUGACGAAGUAUUGUGGCAUUAUUAUAAUUAACCCUGCCAAUUUAUGUUUGUUUCAUGAUGUUUGCGAGUACAUUAAAAGUACUCACUGGCUUGUCCCUGGCUAUUGUCUUGGCCAGAUUGCGUGUUUGGAGAGGAGGAACUCGGCGUUAAACCCAUAACCUAGGCACCGAAGACAGGAGCCACGUGAGAUAGGAGUUAUCCAUGUCAGCUGUUCCUGUGGGAAAUGGAGUCCGAUAGACGUUGGAGACCCUCGAACUGCUUCUGCCAUCAACCAAUAGAAACCUUUUGAUGUACUCUAUGGACCACCUCAGUCUUGUACUUCAAGUUUGUAUUUUUUCUAGGACAUAUGUAUCAAGGAAUCGUGCACCAGCUAACAGUAUUCCUGGGGCUGGAAUGCACAAGGGCCAUUUUGAAGGGAAAUUAAAAUCCCCAAAAAUCCGGUCCCGACAGUAUCCCUGGCGGGUUAAAUCUUUCUGAGAGCCGUGCCCGCAGUUAUGUGGCAACUUGGAAAAUUUGUUUAACACCCGGUCAUAGCAAACCUGAAGUAAAUUUAAUUAAAAUAUGCCAACUAUGUGCGUGACCAUGACUAUCUCUUCUCGCAAGCUCUAUAUCCGAGAGACGACACAGUGGGCUUAUGUUUGACGUAAGUAGGUGUUCAAGAUUACUUCGAGAUUAUUAUUAGUUCACAUACAUUAUGCAUAGACCACCCCCUCUUAUUCUUGUACUCGUAAGUUAGCCACCCAAAUAAAUGCUUAGUCGCUUGCUGUAGCCUCACCACUUAACCAUACCUCACCCAUUAAGCUUUCCUUGUCUUGAUACCUUUGGAAAUGAGAUUGCUGAGUCCCCUAUGGCUCAUAGAUCACUACAACAAUAGUUGCAUGUGUACGUAAAGCGAUACUUUUACGUGAGCACGACGAUUGUUCUAGUUCCUUCUUCUUCAUCGCUCUAGGAUGGGUUCCAGGCUCAUAGCCUGGGAUAGCAAGGAUGAACGUCAAUCUUUUAUUAUUUGAUUUCGUCCGUAGUCGGACCCUGCUCUUCUACAUGGUGAUUUAAUAUAUUGUUGUAUCGUGUUGUUCGUGUUGUAGCAUGUGGCAAGUGCAAGCCAAUUACAUAUACUCAUCUCUUCUGUACAUGUACUUGUAAUGAUAUCCAUUUAAAAAACCCUAUGAUGUGUGCUUCUAUCCCUGUCGAGGCCCUCCAGCCAAAAUAAGGUUAGGAUCGCAUCUUGGGCAUUACAAGUUGGUAUCGGAGAAGUACCGACGUAGGAGCCCCCAUGAUUGAUCGAACGUGGAUGAGUCAAGUCUAGCAAAAAACUAAUUUGAGUCUAGAUAUAUAUUGGAGAGUAGGAUACAUUUUAGUCCUCUUUUAUGCUUUGGUGAGGAUUAUUGAUGUAAGAAUUUUAAUUCUACUCCUCUUCUCGCUCAAUUUUUUUAGGACCAUGCGGGUAUUUUGGAAUUUAUAUGAUGUCGAUGUGAUAGAGUUGCAACUUGGUGCCUGUUGUCUGACUUGAUUUCUUUUGGGGAGUUGAGCUCUAGGGGAUUCUUGACACAUCACUAUCGUUCAGUUUCCUUAGUAUCUCAGGACGGAGGAUGUUCGAAAUAGCUUCAAUACUCUUUGUGGUGACAGUAGUUUGGCAUGACCCAGUACUUGGGAGAGCGUCCAUAUGUAGUGCCAUAAUUGGUAUCAUUGGGAUUACGAGGGUUUGAGGUAGAUGAGUUUCUGAGAUCUCUGGUUAUGUGUUGAUAGAUGUGAUACGCUGGACGGGUAGUGUUAUUGCUAGGACUUGAGUGAUGGAUUUUACUCCUUGUAUCCGUGGACCCGAUUGCAUAACCGGAAAAUUUCGGAAGUUCUUAGGUGGGAAUUCUAGUAGUUAUCUAGUAUUAUCUUUCAACAGAUGCAUGCCGUGAGGUUGGGGUUCGACAUAUAGUGGAUUCGUUUGUUCACAGUUUUUCUUACAAAGGAUAGUCUUGAUAUAUGUCGUCGGAUAUGCUUCGUCAAGCCUUGUAGUUUGGUACGCUAGGGAGCAUAUUCGAGCAUCAUUUCAAUAUGACAAUCGAAUGUACGAUCGAGCCCGUGCGAUCCUUAUUACAAAAAUUAUGAGCGAAAUCUCUGUCAUAUAUUUGUUUCUGGUUUGUUUCGUAAGCCUCAUCCUUUGUUUUGCCGGAGUAUGGUAAUUUGAGUUGCUUUGAUGUCAAGUGGUGAUUUCAUAUCUUUUCUAAGUGGUGUUCUCAUAUUUCUGUGGGAGUGCUAAUUAAUUCUUUUUCUCAAUCAAGUUGUCUUAUCAAUUCUUUUCGAACCAGAGUCAUCAUGUCAAUUCGUUCAAUCCAGAGUGCUUCUCCUCCGGUUAAUUCAAUCUUCCCCAAUAUUUGCAAGAUCCAUCCUCUUAUUUCUUUCCAAAGUUGUCUUAUAUGUCCCAAGUUGUCUUAGUUUUUUCCACUCUCCCGCCCUUUUACUUCUGUGAUUCAAUUAUCAUCCAAGUGUCUUUGUUUCAUUAUUACUUCUGGUAUCUUCUCUUGCGUGUUGCAUCCGGUGAUUUGAUGUGAAGAUGCUCAGUGUUACGUCCAUCAUUCUUCAUUCUAGUUUUCUUCUCCGACGGAUUCAAUUCAAGCUCUGGGUGUUCAUCAUAUCAUUUUCAUUCGUUCAGUGGUUUCCGUGUUGGAAAUUCUUGUUCAAGCCUAUCUUGUUCAUUCAUCCCUCUCUAUUCUAUCAGGAGUGUUGAAGUUAUCUCUUAAUUUGCAUAUCGGGACUUUCCGGGACUAUUAUUCCUUGUUCAGGCCACAUUUAAACUUACCUAGAAUUUCAUGUAGUUCCAUGAUAUCUUGUGAAUUCAUGUUUUAACAUGCUUGUGGGUGUCCUUGUCAUACAUUUCACAUUCAUGACAUAUUAUCUUGUGAUGAUCAUAUGUUUUAGACCAUAACUCCGUUCGAGAUGAUCCAUAUAUGUUAACCGACUAGAAUGUCGUGUAGAAUGUCAUGGUCCACUUUAUUUUGGUGUUUAAUAAAUAUAAAGUGUGUUUGAUUUAGAUUUAAACCAAUUUCGAAAUUAACAUGUGGGAUCAUUUCGGAAAUACUAUAUGUUGUUUUUGACCUCAUUUAACAUGCUUAGGUAGUGUAGUUUAUUUAUGCUUCACCUCUUGCCAUGCUUAAUAACAUUUAAUAUUGUGGUGUACCUAAACGGGAGUAAAAUAAGUAAUCCAAAAGUGGAGUUCAUCAAUAUGCAACUCGUUGCAUAUAUAGCUUCACUUAAUGCGUAGAGUUUGAUUGUGGUGCUUGUCAUGCCUUCAAUAAUUAAACCGUACAUGCAACAUAUUUGAUUGUGCAUCAUGUCAUGCAUAUGUUGUGGUGUUUAUUGUGUGCUGAUUGUUGUUUCCGGAUUGUUUAUUCUCGAUAUAGUUCCAAACCACUUCGGAGUGUGAGGAUCCAUUCGACUACAUUGGUUCGUCUACUUCACACACUAGUAAGCAUGCAAGUGCAACACACGUAUCAUAAUCUAUAAUAAGACAUUAUUUAAUCUUAUUUAUCAGUUCUUUGUCAUGUCAUUUAAAUGUGUCUCAUGCACAUGAUGAGAGUGCGCGUGUAACACGAUUCGAAAACAUGUCUUCACAUAUAAUUCACAAUCACAUAAAUGUACUAUCAUUAGGUACAAAAAUAUUAAAAAACAACUGAGAAACAAUAUCUACUAUUUGUUCUUUGAUGAUUAUUCCGUUUGUUUCUACAUAUAAUUUUUUUUAGAGAUUUUAUUAACAAAUUACAUAUGAAUGUAAAAAUUUGGUAGUAGAAAAGGUCACAACGACGUAGAACUCAGCACACAGUCGGACACAUGCCCCGAUCAGGAAAAGAAACUGAACAACUCGGUUUGCUCCACUCGCUCACUCCACAUGUGGAUAAGCUCCACUCUCCCUCAUAGAACACGACUGCCCCUCUUCCACUGCAUCCCCACCGGCGGCGAGACGAACACCCACCCGUGGCCGGUCCAUGGCGGCCGCCCUUCCUUAGCCGCCGCGCCAGUCGCUGGCCUAUGCCCCCCCUCUUGCCGUUCGCCUACACCAGCCUCNCAUGAGCCUAUCCACCUUCUCUCGUGCGACACGAACUUCCAUCCCCGUGCUCGGGACGCCAUUAAGGUCCGGUUGCAGCUCUUCUUCUCCCCUCGAUCCGGAUGCUCUGCUCUCCAACCCGAUCUAUUCCAAGCGAAAGAUUUUUUUUCAUCCUCUCAUGCCCAUUGCCUCUAGCAAAUGUCAUCUCCCAGCUCAUGGCCUCGCCCCCAUGUUUUUUUCUUACUGCACUAAGCUGCAAAAGGACACAAAAGCUUUUCUAUCGGUUAAUUUAAUUGGUCACAAACUCACAAUACUCCAUACACAAUCAGUGAUAAUAAGAUUGCCCCUUUCGUGUUUUCUGCGGAAAGUAGCCUCCAUGCUUCUCAAAUCUGGGUGAUGUUUUGUUCAUAGACUUUCAUCCAAAGAGAAGCACAUCGAUGGAGAAAAAAGACGUAGUCAAAGGGAAUUUGUUUCAGGUACAUACUCUGUACUAAUUAAAACAUAGUAUGAGCAAGGUUGACACAAUGAUGUUCUAUCUCUAAAUGUUUUCUAAAAACUGACCUUAUAACUUUUAUGUGGUACUUUCAUCUAAAGAGAAGCACAUCCAUGUAGCUAAUUUGUUGAUCAUAAUUACCAAUGGACAUGUAGCUAAUUUGUUGCUCUAUGUCCUACUGCCAUAGAGCAGAUCGAGAUGCGAGCUGGUGGACACGAUGAGGGAGCAAGCAUCUUGAAUUGGACAGUCGAUCUGUUCUAGGGAGGAGUUCACAGCUUGCCUAUUUCCUCCAUUGCUGCAGGUAUGUUGAUUGAUUUUUUUAUGCGCCAACUAUUAUCAUAUAGGUUACAUUUUUGAGGCAACCACUAUGGGAUAAAACUGAUUGAUGUGUGGAUUUGAAUUAAGCACAUCUUGAUGGUCCAUCUUUUGAAGCAAUGAAAGUCCAUCUAUUGAUGCGAUCUAUGAUGCUUCCUUCAAUGUAUGGGAUAUUGUCUUGAGAUUCAUUUUCUUCAUACUUUAAAAUAUGCACCAAAAAUCGCUUCCUCAGUUCAAAACAAUCCUACAUAUGCAUUAGACAACAUUGUUAUACCAAGUUUGUAUGUGCAAUGUGUAUACAAAUAAGCAUGGUGUAAAUACUCACCUCGGGUAUAGGAAAAUAUAGCUUUCCAUCGCACAAUGAGUGCAUGUUGUUAAAAACUAAAUACCCCGACAAGGCACUGCAUGUAUGAAAUAAACACAUAAUGUGUGUUGAAUGAAUGAAUUAUUUAAUAUUGAAUGCAUUGAAAAGAUUCAUACCAGUGUGAGUUUGUUGGAACAACCGGAACUAUACAUUCCCAUUUAGAGAUAUCGUCCUUGAAUGCAGGAUUUGCAACUUGAAGUGCGAGGUUUAGGUUACUGACCACGGUUUUAAGUAUAUUCUUUCCCAAAGUAGGUACUGGUAUUGGAUCAAAAAUUGAGAUAAUUUUUUUAUCUUGAUCCAAGACAAACAAUAGAAACAGCCCAAAAAUGUCCCAAGGCAAUAAAAUUUGCAAUGAUGCAUGCAUUUAUAAAUACAUGAAAUAUUAAUUAAAACCAAAUAAACCACUGUUUUAAACGAAAAAUUAAAAUCUUACCAUAUCACACUGUGAGAUAUGAUACUCAUUGCUGUCAGGCCAGCUAUGAAAGAAUUGUUUAAACGUAGCACUGUCCAUAUUUUCAUGAUGACUUGGGUCUCGUACAUAUUGGAACAUGGACUAAUAUAAAAAUAAGAAAACAAUAGUGCUAUGAGAAAAAAUAUGUAAAACGCAAUUAUAAUAACUUACACAAAAGUUUAGAUCCAUGUAGUGAGAUGGAAUGUCUCUAAGAAGCUGGACUUCGUGCCGCGCUAGUAUCCGCACAACCAUGUUAAAGCAAUCAAUAUCCAUAUAUUCAUCAUUGUUUAAUAUGUUUUUUAUUUGUCUCAACUUUAAGCUGAUAGGGUAAGGAUCAGAGCUUUUCACCCAUUCGCUUCUGUAAAAUCAAAAUUUCGUCAAUUAUAAUGACAUGAGAGUAAUUUAUUAGAAUACAAAAUGAACUAAAAGAACAAGGCUUACUCUAGUAAAGCGUCAUCAUCAAUCAUACUGAUGAACAAGCACAGUUCGUCUAUUAAGUCAUCGUUUGUUGGGUUGACACACGGUGAAAGGAUAUAUGACUGUGAGAUGAGCUCAACAUCUAAUGAUGUGUUCGAUGUUUUGAGAUUAUGAGGGCGUCCAUCCAGAAUCAUACAAUCCAUGGGAUCUAUAUUGAUUUCGUCAUCUUCCAUGUCUCGAUUUCUUAUAUUAUCAUCAUUCAAUUCCGAGUCCACUAAAAUGACAGCUAGUUUUGUUCUAAAAUCUGUCAUAUGAUCCUAUUAAAGUAGAAAUAAGAGUUAGAUAAUGAUACAACAUAGAAUAAGUAUUACAUAAAAAUGAUCCUAUUAAAGUAGAAAUAAGAGUUAAAUAAUGAUACAACAUAGAAUAAGUAUAUAGCUGCAAAUGAUCCUAUUUUCAGAAUCUUUCGGAUGAGAUCUAACCUAAGAUUCGGAGACCUCUUAACCCUGUGAAACAAGUUUUCAUCUGUAUCAUAAAUAUAUAGCUGCAAAUGUCGAGGGCCAUUAUCAGAAGACAAUAGAUCGUCAAGAGCGUGGUACAACCGCCCACAUGCACGAAAUGUAUAUACACCGGUCCCUGCUGCGGUGCUGACUCGACGAUCAAGUGUGACUCCAAGACUUGUGAAAGAGAAAUGAGAGUUGAAAUACCGUAUAUUUUCUCUGAAAUAUUUAGCAUCCUCAUCAUCCCGACUUGUAAACAACCUUUUCAACUCUUCAGGAACAUCUGGAGUAAAUAUAUCCACUUUCCCCUUUUUGCAACAAAACGCAGGCCCCUCGUAUUGAAUCCUCAAAGCUCCACAGUGGCGGCAAUCACUAACUUUCCUAAGCACAUGGUGUUUUUUUGGGCAGGUUCAUGUAAACCCUGUCAUAAAUAUCAGUACUGGGAGUCGCAUGACCAUCCUGUUGAUCCACUCGGUAGGAUUCAAAAGCAACUUCUGGAUAAGAUUAGACACUUGCAUUAAUCAAACUGCAUGUAGAAAUCAUAGUAUCAUAUGUUAUAGUUUACUGCUAACUCAUGAUAGCAACAAUAUACCUCGUUCCGCGAAUAUCCUAGCUUCUUCAUCAUGGUUAACGGCUGUAGUUUCUAUCUGGUUCCUAUCUCCAUCGCAUUCUAGUACCGAAGAUAUGAAUAAAUCAUUAAGGGUUAGAAAUCAUGUUAAGUUCAUGUUCAACAACAAUGAGGAGAUGAAACACAAAAGGACAUAAUGCACACCAUCAAUGUUGACGGUGUGGACAUCGGGCUCCAGUAUUCCGUAUGCAUGUUCUUCAUGGUCGUUGCCUGAAAACAUUUUGUGUCCCAAUGAGUAAGUACCUUUGGUUGUAACCCUUUGUCAUGUACCCGUUUUAGAAAAAAAUGCACAACACCUUGAUUAUGAGUGGUUUGCCCUGCAGCUGGUGUAGGCUGCAUCACUGGACCAUUAUCAUCAGAAUGCGCUAUACCUGAAACUAUAGGAGAGGGCCAAAUUAAAGAACAAAGUCAAACCUGACCAGUUUUAGGAAAAAACACACAACACCUUGAUUAUGAGUGGUUUGCCCUGGAGCUGGUGUAGGCUGCAUCACUGGACCAUUAUCAUCAGAAUGCGCUAUACCUGAAACUAUAGGAGAGGGCCAAAUUAAAGAAGAAAGUCAAACCUGAGAAUUUAGCACCAUUAAUAAGUCACAGAAGUAACCUCUUGUUUUAAAAGAAUCUUCUUGGAUACGUAGGUUGAGUCGUGGGUUCUCUACGACUUCCAUUUGUGUGACUCUUACUUGUCCAGACUUUCGUUGAAUCUGGUAUGCAUCAUUUCUGUGCAACCAAUCGGAUUCGUCGCCAUCAUAAAUAUUCUCGUUUUCGUCUAGAAGCUCUCUGGAAUUAGGUACUGCACCACCCGCACAUGUUAUGUUAGCCAGUUGUGUGACUGCUGAUUGUCCGGUAGCAUUGACUUGUGUUACAAGGUUACUGCCAUCAAGGACGACAACAUUAUGCUUUUUCUGGUCACGGGCCUGUCGCUGUCGCUUUAAUAUUAUCUCUCUAUUAUGUGCAUACCGCUCACGUUCAAUGCGGUUCUUAAUAUCACUACGGUCUGAAUAGACAAAGAAUAUAUCGUUAAAUAACAAUACAUAUGGGCCUUAUAUCAUUUAGUUGAUGGUCAUUACCUUGUGAUAUAGUCAGCUGUGCGUCUGCCGCACUGUUCUCGGCAGCGGCAGUCUUCUUCUGUUUAUAGGCCUCACGCCGUCUCUUAUUAAUCUCAUCCCUAUUUUGUCCAUACCGCUCUCUAUCCCUUUGCCUUUUUACUUCUUUAGGGUCUGUAAUAAAUGAGACAAUUUAGCAGUCUAGCAAGAAAACAAAAAUAUACUGAUUAGGUACUGAUCAUCACCCAACGAUUGGGAGUUGCUUAUAUCCUGGAAGGGGGUGCGUGUCCCGUUGGGAGUGGUUGGUGUCAUACGAACUCCGCAAACUCUGUUUAUGUGAAAAAUGUCAUCAUACCAUUGUACAGGAAGGUAUAGAGUUCCAUGUUGAACUACAUCCUAUAAUACAAAGUUGUACUAAGCUUAAGACACUUAUUUUGGAAUGGAGGGAGUACAUGCAUGUAUAUAGUUAUAUAUAGUGUGACGGCCAGAUUGCUCAAGUGCGAAUAUAUAUUUUUACAAUUUAAUAUCAUCAUUAGUACACGAACUUGCACAUCAUUCACAAAUUCAUACACAAGCUUGAAAAAUUCAUAAAAGUGGGCACAGAACUCACUUACAGUUUAAUAUCAUCACUGGUACACGAACUUGCACAACAUUAACAAAUUAAUGCUUGAAAAAGUCAUAAAAGUGGCGACAGAACUCACUAUACUGUACCAAUUUGGUACAAAAUAAUGUAGCGGCUGCUAGUUCGGACGCCACGGCAGCGAGUGCACCAGCGCUCCUUAUUUCAAUAAAACCCCAUGAUUAAAUGACACAUAAUCCAGAAUUUCUAUGAAGUUAAACUGUUCAGUGGAUCAAGAUGUAGUUGUUAUGAUAAUUUUUUGCAGAAAGACAACCAGAUCAAUCAAAGCAAUAGAUUAUUAAUUAUUUAGAACAAUGCAUCAUGAUGUAGUUGUUAUGAUAAUAUCUUGCAGAAAGACAACCAGAUCAGUCAAAGCAAUAGAUGGAUCUGAACGCAGAGAGAAGGCAACACCUUAUACGGCGUAUAGCUUGUCGUUGCGGCCUUGGACGGGUGCCUCGGCGGCUGCAGCUGUAUUGGUGAAGACCUCGUCGUCGCGGCCGUUGGAGGAUGCGUCGACGUUUGCAGCUCUGUUGGUGGAGAGGUCGUCGUAGCGGCUGUUGGUUGAUGCGUCGACGGCUGCGUCUCGACGGCGACGACGACGCACGAACUGCUGGACGUGAAUUAUUUGUUGCUGUUUGUUUCCCUUACUUGCUGUUUGUUUCCGUAAUAAGUUGCUGGACGUGACGUGAAUUCUGCUUCUUUCUGUUUUAUGAUUUCCCUUAUUUCCUGUUUGUUUCCGUAAUAAGUUGCUAGACGUGACGUGAAUUCAGCUACUUUCUGUUAUAUAUGAUUUCCCUUAUUUGCUGUUUGUUACCAUAUAAUUUUCGAAGGAAGGUGUUGGACGUGAACGGGGGGAUAUAUGAUUUCCCUUAUUUGCUGUUUGUUACCAUAUAAUUUUCGAAGGAAGGUGCUGCACGUGAACGGGGGGAUAUUUUUGGUUGCUCUGGUAGAGUUUUCGUCCGUCAAACUAAUAUGGUAGACGCACAUUUCUGGUGGGCCUGCCACAAAUUGAAUGGUUAGAUAUAAUUACAAGAUCUGAUCGUAAGGUUAUAAUUCCUCUGCGGGAAAUUGUGUAGCUUUGCUUGGG
RNAcentral lists this long non-coding RNA (34330 nucleotides) under Hordeum vulgare. RNAcentral's name for it is "long non-coding RNA (HVUL_LNC004157)". The record is from RNAcentral. Lineage: Eukaryota; Viridiplantae; Streptophyta; Magnoliopsida; Poales; Poaceae.